This 204-nucleotide ribosomal RNA is filed under the name uncultured bacterium. RNAcentral's name for it is "partial 16S ribosomal RNA". It matches the Rfam family "Bacterial small subunit ribosomal RNA", at positions 524 to 727 of the family's 1533-position model. The record is from RNAcentral.
UACGGAGGGUGCAAGCGUUAUCCGGAUUCACUGGGUUUAAAGGGUGCGUAGGCGGGCAGGUAAGUCCGUGGUGAAAUCUCUGAGCUUAACUCAGAAACUGCCAUGGAUACUAUUUGUCUUGAAUAUUGUGGAGGUAAGCGGAAUAUGUCAUGUAGCGGUGAAAUGCUUAGAUAUGACAUAGAACACCAAUUGCGAAGGCAGCUU